Molecule: small RNA, 205 nt
Filed under: Pan troglodytes (chimpanzee)
Lineage: Eukaryota; Metazoa; Chordata; Mammalia; Primates; Hominidae
Description: processed transcript
Source: RNAcentral
CUCCUCUCUUACCUGCACCCCUGGGCCCGCACGUGGCGAGCGGCCACCCCGGCUUGGCCUGCCGACCCCGGGAGUGCCAGUUUGACAAGUAUGCGCCCAAGCUGGACAGCCCCUACUUCCGACAUUCCAGCGUGAGUUUCUUCCCGUCCUUCCCUCCUGCCAUCCCGGGACUGCCCACCCUGCUCCCACACCCCGGCACCUUCGG